GGACAUGGUGGUUUAAUGGUUAGCACGUUUGCCUCGCACCUUCAGGAUUGGUGGUUUGAUUCCUGCCCUGUCCU
Ameiurus melas (black bullhead) is the source of this 74-nucleotide non-coding RNA. Lineage: Eukaryota; Metazoa; Chordata; Actinopteri; Siluriformes; Ictaluridae. The record is from the annotation of a GenBank genome assembly.